UGCUGGAGCAGCUGUGUGAAGACGUAAAGCUUUCACAGAAGCUUCUCUCACACGAGAAAAUCAAGGCCCAUAGGAAGAAGGAGACACAGUUGAAGAACUCCAUCCUUUUUGCUUUGUGGACACGGUACCAGGAUAAUGAGUUAUCAACCGUGGAACUACUGGAGGAAAUAGUGUUAGAACUGAGAACCUCAUUCCCAACUGUAGUCACUGACCAUCCUUUAAACCUGAAUGAUGAAAACAUAGAUAAUUAUGACAUGUCAUUUGUGAGCGAUGAUGAAAUGUAAAUUUAACAUUCAACUGAUUUUUAAAACAUAUUAUCUUAUUUUUAUUGAUGUAUAAAAUGUAUUGGCACUGGUUACCUGAAUAGCAUUCAGGUUCCCAAUCUUUUGCCUUGUCAAUUGUUUCCGUCUUUCUUUAAAACUUCUGUUCAGUUAUCCCAGCAAAUACCUUGAAAUGAAAUAAAAUUAAAACAAAUCGAA
Molecule: long non-coding RNA, 479 nt
Filed under: Daphnia magna
Lineage: Eukaryota; Metazoa; Arthropoda; Branchiopoda; Diplostraca; Daphniidae
Description: uncharacterized LOC123472210
Source: RNAcentral